Molecule: ribosomal RNA, 243 nt
Filed under: uncultured bacterium
Lineage: Bacteria
Description: partial 16S ribosomal RNA
Rfam family: Bacterial small subunit ribosomal RNA
Source: RNAcentral
UGGGUAACCUGCCUCAAAGAGGGGAAUAGCCUCCCGAAAGGGAGAUUAAUACCGCAUAAUAUGUUUAAGUCGCAUGACUUUAACAUCAAAGGAUUUUCUUUUAAGAAAUUCCACUUUGAGAUGGACCCGCGGCGCAUUAGCUAGUUGGUGAGGUAACGGCUCACCAAGGCAACGAUGCGUAGCCGACCUGAGAGGGUGAUCGGCCACAUUGGAACUGAGACACGGUCCAGACUCCGUAGGAGG